UACGUAGGGUGCAAGCGUUGUCCGGAAUUAUUGGGCGUAAAGAGCGUGUAGGCGGCUUGGUAGGUCUGCUGUGAAAACUCGGGGCUCAACCCCGAGACGUCGGUGGAAACCACCUGGCUAGAGUCCGGAAGAGGAGAGUGGAAUUCCUGGUGUAGCGGUGAAAUGCGCAGAUAUCAGGAAGAAUAUCCGUGGCGAAGGCGGCUCUCUGGGACGGUACUGACGCUGAGACGCGAAAGCGUGGGGAGCGAACAGG
RNAcentral lists this ribosomal RNA (253 nucleotides) under uncultured bacterium. Its description in RNAcentral is "partial 16S ribosomal RNA". It matches the Rfam family "Bacterial small subunit ribosomal RNA", at positions 524 to 776 of the family's 1533-position model. The record is from RNAcentral.